AUUGAACGCUGGCGGCAUGCUUUACACAUGCCAGUCGAACGGCAGCGCGGGCUUCGGCCUGGCGGCGAGUGGCGAACGGGUGAGUAAUACAUCGGAACGUGCCCAGUAGUGGGGGAUAGCUCGGCGAAAGCCGGAUUAAUACCGCAUACGACCUGAGGGUGAAAGCGGGGGAUCUUCGGACCUCGCGCUAUUGGAGCGGCCGAUGGCAGAUUAGCUAGUUGGUGGGGUAAAGGCCUACCAAGGCGACGAUCUGUAGCUGGUCUGAGAGGACGACCAGCCACACUGGGACUGAGACACGGCCCAGACUCCUACGGGAGACAGCAGUGGGGAAUUUUGGACAAUGGGCGAAAGCCUGAUCCAGCAAUGCCGCGUGUGUGAUGAAGGCCUUCGGGUUGUAAAGCACUUUUGGCGGGAACGAAAAGGACUGUGCCAAUACCACGGUUCGAUGACGGUACCCGCAGAAUAAGCACCGGCGAACUACGU
RNAcentral lists this ribosomal RNA (483 nucleotides) under uncultured bacterium. Its description in RNAcentral is "partial 16S ribosomal RNA". It matches the Rfam family "Bacterial small subunit ribosomal RNA", at positions 29 to 506 of the family's 1533-position model. The record is from RNAcentral.